CUACGGGUUGCUCCAGUGAGGAAUUUUGCGCAAUGGGGGGAACCCUGACGCAGCAACGCCGUGUGAGUGAAGAAGGCCUUUGGGUCGUAAAGCUCUGUCAACUGGGAAGAAGUUACUAUGCUUAAAUAGAGUGUAGUAUUGACGGUACCAGUGGAGGAAGCGUCGGCUAACUCCGUGCCAGCAGCCGCGGUAACACGGGGGACGCAAGCGUUAUUCGGAAUUAUUGGGCGUAAAGGGCGCGUAGGCGGUCUUGUCGGUCAGGUGUGAAAGCCCGGGGCUCAACCCCGGACGUGCACUUGAAACAGCAAGACUUGAGUGCGGGAGAGGAAAGCGGAAUUCCUGGUGUAGAGGUGAAAUUCGUAGAUAUCAGGAGGAACACCGAUGGCGAAGGCAGCUUUCUGGACCGAAACUGACGCUGAGGCGCGAAGGCGUGGGUAGCAAACAGGAUUAGAUACCCCUGUAGUC
Molecule: ribosomal RNA, 465 nt
Filed under: uncultured bacterium
Lineage: Bacteria
Description: partial 16S ribosomal RNA
Rfam family: Bacterial small subunit ribosomal RNA
Source: RNAcentral